This 253-nucleotide ribosomal RNA is filed under the name uncultured bacterium. Its description in RNAcentral is "partial 16S ribosomal RNA". It matches the Rfam family "Bacterial small subunit ribosomal RNA", at positions 524 to 776 of the family's 1533-position model. The record is from RNAcentral.
UACGUAGGCAGCGAGCGUUGUUCGGAGUUACUGGGCGUAAAGAGUGCGUAGGCGGUUUUCUAAGUUUGGUGUGAAAUCUCCCGGCUUAACUGGGAGGGUGCGCCGAAAACUGGAAGGCUUGAGUAUGGGAGAGGUAAGCGGAAUUCCUGGUGUAGCGGUGAAAUGCGUAGAUAUCAGGAGGAACACCUGCGGCGAAGGCGGGUUGCUGGGCUGACACUGACGCUGAGGCGCGAAAGCUAGGGGAGCGAACGGG